GAGGAGGAACACGAAGUCACCAGGGCCCAGGUUAGAGUGUUGUGUUAGUGUGUCGUAGAAGGUUAUGGAACCCUCGAGUUAGCGUAGCACCGAUAACGGUGCUACGAGUUAGAUCGAGUCGUAGAUACUCAUAGUUAUUAUUGUGAUUGUGGUUGAUUGAUUUGCUUGCAGGUUAUGACAUUAGUCCUAAGUCUGGUUUAGGUACCAGAUUAGGCUUGAU
RNAcentral lists this long non-coding RNA (220 nucleotides) under Brassica napus (rape). Its description in RNAcentral is "long non-coding RNA (BNAP_LNC024753)". Lineage: Eukaryota; Viridiplantae; Streptophyta; Magnoliopsida; Brassicales; Brassicaceae. The record is from RNAcentral.